Molecule: long non-coding RNA, 2595 nt
Filed under: Nicotiana benthamiana
Lineage: Eukaryota; Viridiplantae; Streptophyta; Magnoliopsida; Solanales; Solanaceae
Description: long non-coding RNA (NBEN_LNC024924)
Source: RNAcentral
GUCAACAACAAAUCCCUGAUUGAAGGACUGAUUUUCUAAAUAAUAAUUGAGUCUUGGAAUUUGUAAAUAUAAUUUUUCAACAAUUUUUCAACCACAGAAUCUUGACUUUAAAAAUUGUUUUUGAAAACUAUAUACCUUGGAUAUACACUUGAUAUACGUUAUGUAUACCAGAGUAUACUAGAAUUGAAAACUUACUUCAAAAUUCAUUUUGGUUGAAAUAAAAACGUUAAAAUUAUUUUGUUUGAAGUAUAUUAAAAAUAUUUACGAUAUAAGUCGGUCAAGAUAUUUGAAAAUGGUAGAUUUUGUGAUAUAAGUAAUUUAAUAAAAUGAUUUUAUGAGAGAGCCAAUAUUAGAAAUAAGUCGUUGAGUCAAGAUUACAAAAUAAAAUGACUCAACAAUAAACACAACUAUAAUCUUCGUUGCGAUUCUUGGUUCCGCACUGAUUUCUUGUACUUGAUUGUUAAUGUUUCAUCCUCGUUGGUUGGUUUGGCAUUUAUCAAAACCUACAUAGAUCAACACACGUUAGUUCGAGAACGUGUUUUCAACAAUUUCCCCCUUUUUGAUAAUGGCAAACAAGUAUCGGAAUAUGCAUAUUAAUAACAGUUCAAUGACAGUAUGCAUAAAAGUUCAAGAUAUAUGUUCCCCCUAAAUAUAAGAUAUAUGUUCCCCCUAAAUAUAAGAUUCCCCCUAAAUUUAUGCAACAAAUAAUUAGAGACUUGCAACAUCAUAUAUCAUAAACAUGCAUAUAUCUUCCCCCUUUAAAGAGUGCAUGUAGACAUGUAAAUAUGCAUAUAUCCUAAUCUUCCCAAGGCAUAGAAAAUAUCCCCUUUAUCUUCUAAUGCAUGAACAAGAUAGAUAUGCAUAUACCGUUAAUCUUCCCCCUUUUGACAUUAACAAAAAGGUUUGAAAAAGAUUAGGUCACAAGUUGUACAACUUCCCCCUUUUGACAUAAAUAAAAGGUGGUUAGAGAAAAAUAUAAUUCCCCUUUUUGACAAGUUGCAUAACUUUCCCCUUUUGACAAAAAUAACAAGAUAAAUUCACAUAAGAGUAAUUGGAGAAACAUUUCAAAAAUAUAUUUCAAAUAAUGAAAAUAUAACAACAAAAUUAUUCUUCAUCGUCAUUUUCUUCUCCCAUGUUGUCCGGCGCUGUUUCAAAUGGAACAAGAGAGCACCGUAUGGAUAAUUGAAGUGGUCAAAAUACCCAUGGAUUUCGACACUAAGUCUUCGCACAAUUCUUUGUGUGCUAGACACAAUUUAAUCAAUUUGAUUGAUUGAAAUUGAUGGAGAAACAAGAUGAUCAAAGAAGUUUGAGAUACAUCUCGUUGAGCAUGAGGACGACGAGCUUGAGUUUGGAGGAGGAGGAUUUGGAAUUUGAUCAUAUUAUUGAUUAUACACAAAAGAGGUCUCUUGAAUUUUUCAAUGUUUGGUAUGAGUUUUCUUAAAACCAACAUUGGUAUGAGAUGCUUCGAGUAUUCCUUCGACAUGGUCUAAUAAUCGAUGUCUUGUCCAUCACGAGGAAAAUUUGUGAUGGUUUGAAUAUUUUCUUAAGAAGAAUAGGAAUACUAUUAAUACGAGUAGAAAGGACUCUACUUUCAUCAUUCUUAAGAUUCGAAUAAGAUGCUUGAAUCAAAAGAGAAGGAAUGAAAUCAUACUUCAAAUAAAUAAGGUUAAGAGUCGAACUUUGGAGAAGUACAUUGGAAUGGAAAAAUCCGCGAGAAAUCUAGCGGUUGUGAAUCGAGGUGAAAGAAUGACUCGAUUUUCAAAUAUUUGAACAGUAAACGUUGAAGUUCGAUUUUAUGUUCGAAUCAAAGAGCCGAACCAUCAUCAUAACUGAAAAUUGAUGGAUUUGUAUUGGAAAAAAGUAAUAUUCUUUCCGGCACGAGAAGGCUUAGAACUUCUAUUUGCCAUUGAAGAUUGCAGGCAAGUAGGACUAUUGGAAGAGUCUAAUAUGAAGACUUUUGAAAGAGAAUUCUUUGAACGAGAAUGAUUAUGCCUAUUUUGAACUGACAAGAUGACAAUUGGUUACUGUCAAGUUCAGAAUUCAGAACGGUAAUAAAUUUUUAAUGUUUACCGUUGGACAAUCGAUUGUGAGAAUGGACAAUCGAUUGUUGACUGUUUUGAUAGUUUCUGAAAAAUUGGCAAGAGAAAAAGUUCAGAAACUCAGAAAAACACGGACAAUCGAUUGUGGCCUAUAACAAUCGAUUGUAGACAAGGUCAAAAACGUUUUAAGUCCUGAAAAUUGAUUAUGGAAGUAUGCCAAUCAAUUUUGAAUAUAUGAUAAUCAAUUAUGGAAGUAUGACAAUUGAUUUUAGGAGUAUGAUAAUCGAUUUUGGAUAUAUGACAAUCGAUUAUAGAUGAGACAAUGCCAUCAACAUAUGGUAGAAGAUAAUGAUUUAAAAAAACAUUUUUAAGAAAAUAUUUUAUAAAAGAUCAAUACAUAUAAUCAAUACCAAUUGUUAUAAAUAUCAAUUGUUUCAAUUGUUAUAAAAGCAAAACUUAGCACAUAUAGUCAAAUAUUUCAUUUUAUCAAAAUACCAACAAUUGAAUAACUGUUAAUCACAACUAUAUUCCCCCUAUCUAUGAGGAUAUCUCUGCA